Molecule: long non-coding RNA, 727 nt
Organism: Fundulus heteroclitus (mummichog)
Lineage: Eukaryota; Metazoa; Chordata; Actinopteri; Cyprinodontiformes; Fundulidae
Exons: 3
Source: RefSeq, a predicted model, not a curated record
UUAAAUUAAUUCAGUUGAUGUCUUUUUAGAUGAAAGAAGAAUACAGUAAAAUAAAAGGAUUCGACAGUCUUAGCAUAACAGGAUUCAGGUACUUCCUUUGUACAUUAAUAAACAGAAAAUCUACAGGCAUUUAUUUUGUAAAUGUUUAAGAGAAAUCUCUUUUUUGUUUUGUUUUUCAGUGUUGGAAGCGUUGUGGCCAGCUUUGCAAUGAAGGUCGUUUCUGCCAGCAUUUCGAAAGAACUGAUUAACAAAUCCAUAAGCCUGGGUAACAGACUGAACGGUUCGCUAGUUUUGGAGACGACAGGUAUUGUCAAUUUGGAAGUACCAGAUUACGAAGUGCCGUAUGAAAACAAUGCUGUUGUGAAGUGUACAACCACGGAAGACCUUAACGCUGAUCCAAAGUGGAAUCUGAAAAGAGAUAAAGAAGUUUUUAUCAUAACUAAUGGCAGAAUCUCAACGGUGACCAACAUAGACCACAGAGAAAGCAACAUCAACCUGACUGCCGUUGAUGAACUCUGGGAAGGAGAGUACAUAUGUCUCUUCGAACAAAAACAAGGCGAUAUAACCAUUAAUCACAAAGCCAACGCUUCGAUGGAUAUAUGCCUCAAACCAAAGAUUGACAUUUCUGCAGACCCAGCAUUCCCCCUGUGUGUAAAAGAAACAGAUGUUUUUCUUGUAAAACUGAGUUGUCAGAUAAAGAAAAGCAGUGAAAAUUACGCAGUGAGCU